GAAAUAACAUAUUUUUUGUUGCAAGAUGUUGUACUAUUAUUUUUCUUUUGGAAAUAUUUGUCGGUUAAAUAGCAUAAUAAUAAUAAAUGAUUAUAAUAAUAACAAACUUAAUUAUUCAAUUUAAUAAUAGUAAUAAUGAUAACAAAAUUCUUUUUUUUGACUUUUUUUUUCUUUUAAUAUUAAUAAUAGCAAUAUUUAAGACAAUGAUAAUAGUAUACCUAAUGAAAUUAAUAGUAAAACUAACUAACAAAUAUUUUUUUGAUUUUUCAUUUUUAUAAUA
This 280-nucleotide long non-coding RNA is filed under the name Lathyrus oleraceus (garden pea). RNAcentral describes it as "Pisum sativum (pea) long non-coding RNA (PSAT_LNC029651)". Lineage: Eukaryota; Viridiplantae; Streptophyta; Magnoliopsida; Fabales; Fabaceae. The record is from RNAcentral.